Neofelis nebulosa (Clouded leopard) is the source of this 99-nucleotide long non-coding RNA. RefSeq lists it as uncharacterized. The record is from RefSeq and is a predicted model, not a curated record. Lineage: Eukaryota; Metazoa; Chordata; Mammalia; Carnivora; Felidae. The transcript has 2 exons.
CCUAUUUUCAACCCAAGACAGGUCCAGAGGAGCUGAAGGUCCCUGAAUUUGUAGAUUCAGCUUUGUCCAUUAAAAAAAAUUAAAGAAGAAGAAGAAGAA